This 491-nucleotide ribosomal RNA is filed under the name Neoscona nautica (brown sailor spider). Its description in RNAcentral is "partial 16S ribosomal RNA". It matches the Rfam family "Bacterial large subunit ribosomal RNA", at positions 1796 to 2620 of the family's 2925-position model. Lineage: Eukaryota; Metazoa; Arthropoda; Arachnida; Araneae; Araneidae. The record is from RNAcentral.
UCGCCUGUUUUUCAAAAACAUUUCUUAUAGAAAUUUUUAUAAGUAAUACCUGCUCAAUGAAUAAUUUUUAAUAGCCGCGGAAAUUUAACUGUGCUAAGGUAGCAUAAUCAUUAGCCUCUUAAUUAGAGGCUUGUAUGAAUGGUAAAACAUUUCAAUUUCUUUAUUAAUUUUAAUUCUUUAAUUUAAAUUAAGAAUAAAAAUGUUUCUUAUAAAUAAAAAAGACGACAAGACCCUUUUGAACUUUACUUUAGUUUAGCUGGGGCAGCUAUUAAAUAAUUAUCUUUUUCUAAUUUAUUAAUUAAAUGACCUAAUAUAAUUAAUUAUUUGAACAAGUUACCAUAGGGAUAACAGCGUAAUAUUUUUCUAAAGUUCUUAUUUAAAAAAGUGAUUACGACCUCGAUGUUGAAUUAAUGUAACUAUAUAGAUGCAAUAAUCUUAAAAGUAGGUCUGUUCGACCUUUAAAUCAUUACAUGAUCUGAGUUCAAACCGGA